This is a long non-coding RNA of Oreochromis aureus, 4239 nucleotides long. The record is from Ensembl. NCBI's taxonomy places the organism in Eukaryota, Metazoa, Chordata, Actinopteri, Cichliformes, Cichlidae.
AAUAUUUUUAAUUAAACACAAUAUUACAUUUUACAGUGUAUGAGGGUUUGUAGUUAAAUUCCUGCUCUUACAGGAUCAGUGAGUGUCUGUUUAAAGAUUAUGAAGAUAAUUUUACAUCACUAUGGAACACCAGCACUUCUGCAGAGGACAGAACCCCCUGCCUUAAUCUACCAUGAUGCUCUGUGUUAUGUUGUCAUGGCAAUAAAAAGUCAAAUAAAUACAAAUAUACAAAAAUGCACAUUUAAAGGAGGACAAGAAGACAAGCAACUGGAAGAGCUUUUGAAGCAGGAAAACUUUUGUGGAUUUCUCUGAAUUUAACUGGAAAUUUUGCUAAUAUGAGUCAGGGAGGAAACAAGGAGGCAGCUGGUUGGAUUAUAUCUGAGGACAGGACGCAUGAAGGAGAAGCAUGAGGAGAGAGAAAACAGCAGAGCGAUGGUGCAGAGCUAACCGUGGAUCAAGUCGAAGAAGCAAGCAUCAAAACUGUGAGUAAACAUAACACACAAAGAGUUAAAAAUUACUGUGCUGAUUAAGGAAACAUUAAAUUUGGUUAGUUUUGGGUCUGGAGCUUCAGGUUUGUGGGUUCAGUUGGUCUCAAAAUUGAGGAAAGACAAAAAAUGUUUCUUUUGAAAGGUUGUUGGAGGAUUCUUACUGUAAGAAAUAUCUGGGUGCAUCUGCUUUUAUUUAAAAAAAAAAAAAAAGUUGAAUUUUAUUUAGUCACAUUAGAAAGAGAAAAUUGGAGGAUCAGGACAAUAAUGUGGUCAAAUUUACUGUUUCCUUAAUCAAAACAAUAAUUUUGAUCUGAACUAGAAAUUUUGCAAUGGGUUAUUUUCUUUCUUCUCUACUGAUCACUGUGUUGAAUGUUUAGUUACUUGUCAGUCUACAUGUUAAUGGUACUUUAAAAAAAAAUGCAGUUUAAUCAUAAUUUUGUAGAAAAAGGCUCUGCACCUGUGAAAAAAAAUAGGUUUCCACAAAAUCACUGUAGAUGAGAGUAGCUAAGCCCUGGUUAAUUGCAAUUAUAUCACAGGAGAUGAAAAAUUUUGGAAUGAUUGAAAGAAACAAAGAUUGCUUUAGGGUUUGAAUAUUUGACUUUCUUAUUGAAAGAGAUGAAAACUAAUCCAUGUGUGACAAUGAGAAAAAACAGAAAACUUAAAAAUAUCUGGAGGUCCAACUGUGCAAACUUGUUUUAAUGACAUUAGAAAAAAAAUGGGAUAUUAAAAAAGUAAUAUAUAAAAUUGAUUUUUAUAUUACUUGAAAAAAUUAUGUUGGUUAGCGCUGCUGUAUUUGGAAAAAUGCUGGGUCACUAGUAAGCUGAGAUUUAUUGUGAUAAACUGAAGAUAGGAUAGGUAAUAUAAUCUUCACACUCGCUAUUAUUGUUGUAAUCCAUACACCAGUUAAUAUUUAAUCAAACAUCAAUCAUAAUUUGUGAUCAAUGCCAGUUUUAAGCAAUAAUAUUUAUUUGCUUUCCCAACUAAUUUCCAAAUAUAAAAAAGAAUCUUGGUUUUUUAAGAAAAAAGACGUUUCUAACUGACUUCAAACUUAAGUAGAUUGAUGAGCACGCAAUAAAGUGGACUUGUUAAGGAGAGUUUGCCAUCAACUCGAUUUUUGAUGACAGACACAGCUAAAAAAAAAGGAGCAUUUUGUUGACACUGAUAUGUGGACCGAUCACAUGGUUAUAAAGCAGGUGAAAAUUGACUUCAAACUUUUGAGCUGUAGUGUAGAUUGAUUGCAAUGAUAGUGUAUAGUUAUCUAUUACAGAAGAAUAUAUAGAAGUAUGAGGACAGGGAGACACUGUGAAAAAGUUAUGAGCUGUCUUGCUGCAGAGAAAGUGGAGUCUGUCAUCCUUGAAAAGCUCCCAAGAUAGGCAGCUGGCAGGAUUGAAUGAUGCUCUGCCUCUGUGGUCAAGUACAGACAUAGGCCUUAAGCAACCAUGAGCCACUGAUAAGCGUGACACAUUAGGAAACAUGCAUAAAGUACAUUAGUUAGACACUGAUGAGCCUCUAAUAGGAGAAAAUGAGCACGCAAUAAAGUGGACUUGUUAGGGAGAGAUUGCCAUCAGACUUAAAACACUCCAACUCAAUUUUGAUGAUAGACACAGCUAAAAAAAUGAGCGUUUUGUUGACACUGAUGACAAAAUCCUGAUCAGAUACAGACAGACACAUGCAUACAACACACACUACUGCUCAAAAGUUUGUGAUCAGAUUCAAACAGUCAUCUUUUAAUUAAUAAUUUACAUUUACUUUAACGUAAUAUUACAAAAGGUUAUCAGUAAUGUUUUCACAGAUGUGUGUUUAAUGAAUCAUUUAUGUUAAAUCACCCAUGAUGCAUUAGGAAAUGUCUACACAGUUAUGCAUGGGCCCAUUUUUAGUAACAAUCACUCCUGUGUGGACCGAUCACAUGGUUAUAAAGCAGGUGAAAACUGACUUCAAACUUUUGAGCUGUAGUGUAGCUUGAUUGCAAUGAUAGUGUAUAGUUAUCUAUUACAGAAGAAUAUAUAGAAGUAUGAGGACAGGGAGACACUGUGAAAAAGUUAUGAGCUGUCUUGCUGCAGAGAAAGUGGAGUCUGUCAUCCUUGAAAAGCUCCCAAGAUAGGCAGCUGGCAGGAUUGAAUGAUGCUCUGCCUCUGUGGUCAAGUACAGACAUAGGCCUUAAGCAACCAUGAGCCACUGAUAAGCGUGACACAUUAGGAAACAUGCAUAAAGUACAUUAGUUAGACACUGAUGAGCCUCUAAUAGGAGAAAAUGAGCACGCAAUAAAGUGGACUUGUUAGGGAGAGAUUGCCAUCAGACUUAAAACACUCCAACUCAAUUUUGAUGAUAGACACAGCUAAAAAAAUGAGCAUUUUGUUGACACUGAUGACAAAAUCCUGAUCAGAUACAGACAGACACAUGCAUACAACACACACUACUGCUCAAAAGUUUGUGAUCAGAUUCAAACAGUCAUCUUUUAAUUAAUAAUUUACAUUUACUUUAACGUAAUAUUACAAAAGGUUAUCAGUAAUGUUUUCACAGAUGUGUGUUUAAUGAGUCAUUUAUGUUAAAUCACCCAUGAUGCAUUAGGAAAUGUCUACACAGUUAUGCAUUGGCCAAUUUUUAGUAACAAUCACUCCUGUGUGGACCGAUCACAUGGUUAUAAAGCAGGUGAAAACUGACUUCAAACUUUUGAGCUGUAGUGUAGCUUGAUUGCAAUGAUAGUGUAUAGUUAUCUAUUACAGAAGAAUAUAUAGAAGUAUGAGGACAGGGAGACACUGUGAAAAAGUUAUGAGCUGUCUUGCUGCAGAGAAAGUGGAGUCUGUCAUCCUUGAAAAGCUCCCAAGAUAGGCAGCUGGCAGGAUUGAAUGAUGCUCUGCCUCUGUGGUCAAGUACAGACAUAGGCCUUAAGCAACCAUGAGCCACUGAUAAGCGUGACACAUUAGUAUUAAUAAGCAUGUAAAAGUGGACUUGUUAAACAGCUAUGAGUCACUGAUAAGAAAAAAACAAUGAGCACGCAAUAAAGUGGACUUGUUAGGGAGAGAUUGCCAUGAGAGUUAAAACACAAAGUUUACCAGUAAUGUUUUCACAGAUGUGUAUUUAAUGAAUCAUUUACGUUAAAUCACCCAUGAUGCAUUAGGAAAUGUCUACACAGUUAUACAUGGGCCAAGUUUUAGAAACAAUUACUCCUGUAUGGACCAAUCACAUGUUAUAAAUACAGUACAAAUUUGACUUAAUCAAAACAAAAACAGUAAAUUGGAUGAUCCAUCACAAAUCUCUAAAAUUUACUGUUUUUCAUCCGCACAAUGAUUUUGGUUUGUGCUGAUAUCUUUGGAAAAAGGUUUCUUGACUGACAAGUUGGGAUCUAACAUCACAAACUGAUAUCUGGUACCACAAUGUACCAAAUGAAAAUGGGCCUCUGUAGAUGUCAUGGUUCCCUUGCCCCCUUUUGCUGGCCUGCUUCUUUCUCUCUCUCUCCUCUUUCGGUGUGUGCCUGUGUUGUUGUCCGUGUGUUUGUCUUUUUUAGGGGAUGCUCCUCCACCUUCCUGUCCUUCAGUCACUUGUCAACAAUCAGCUGAUUACUCGCCUGUUCCUCACGAGGUCUUCAUGCUGGCUUCUAAACAACCAGAUCAUUGCAUUACCAAGACGUUUCAGCGUUACGGAUCUCCGCAACCUUCUGUGACAGUGUCUGAGUGUGCCUUCAGACAACCUUCACUACCUCUGCCCCGUCUCCUGGAGCCCACAGUGUUUAUCCUGUAUUCAUAACUAUCUG